This 467-nucleotide ribosomal RNA is filed under the name uncultured bacterium. Its description in RNAcentral is "partial 16S ribosomal RNA". It matches the Rfam family "Bacterial small subunit ribosomal RNA", at positions 28 to 506 of the family's 1533-position model. The record is from RNAcentral.
GACGAACGCUGGCGGCGUGCUUAACACAUGCAAGUCGAACGGAAAGGCCCUGCUUUUGUGGGGUGCUCGAGUGGCGAACGGGUGAGUAACACGUGAGUAACCUGCCCUUGACUUUGGGAUAACUUCAGGAAACUGGGGCUAAUACCGGAUAGGAGCUCCUGCUGCAUGGUGGGGGUUGGAAAGUUUCGGCGGUUGGGGAUGGACUCGCGGCUUAUCAGCUUGUUGGUGGGGUAGUGGCUUACCAAGGCUUUGACGGGUAGCCGGCCUGAGAGGGUGACCGGCCACAUUGGGACACGGGAAGCGCCCGGACGGAUUCGGGAGGGAGGGGGGGGGGAUUUUUGAAGAAGGGCCGAAGGCGUGAUGAAGAACCCCGGGUGGGGGAAGGCGGCUAUUGGGGUGGAAAACGGUUUUGCCUGUGAAGGAACGGGGGGAACGGAAAUGGGUAAAAAAGCACCGGUUAACUACGG